RNAcentral lists this long non-coding RNA (1254 nucleotides) under Taeniopygia guttata (zebra finch). RNAcentral describes it as "lncRNA (ENSTGUG00000023030.1)". The record is from RNAcentral. Lineage: Eukaryota; Metazoa; Chordata; Aves; Passeriformes; Estrildidae.
CCCCCCCAAAUCCCCCCCAGCCCCCCCAAACCCUCCCCAAAUUUCCCCAAAUCCCCCCUAAAUCCCCCCAAAUCCCCCCCAAACCCCCCUAAAUCCCCCCAACCCCCCCCAUGUCCUCCCCUCCCCCCCCGCGCCCUCCCCCCCCCCUGGGCCGCUCUCGUGGCCGCUGCCGAGGCUCUGGGGGGGGGUCCGGGGGGUCCCGACGUGGCGAUUUUGGGGUGCUGGGGGGGGCCCGGGGGGGUCCCCACCGUGUUCCAGCACGGGCCGGGACCCCUGGGAGCCGCCACGCGGAAAUUCCUGCCCCACAUCCAGCGGGAGCUGCUCCGCCAGGCCCAAAAUCCCCCAAAUUCACCCCAAAAUCUGCCCCAAAAUCCGCCACAAAAUCCCCAUUUCUCACCCCAAAAUCAGCCCCAAAAUGAACCCCAAAAUCCCCAUUUUGCACCCCAAAAUCUGCCCCAAAAUCCCCAAUUCCCACCCCCAAAUCAGCCCCAAAAUCCCCAAUUCGCACCCCAAAAUCUGCCCCAAAAUGAACCCCAAAAUCCCCAUUUUGCACCCCAAAAUCAGCCCCAAAAUCCCCAAUUCUCACCCCAAAAUCUGACCCAAAAUCCCCAAUUCUCACCCCAAAAUCUGCCCCAAAAUGAACCCCAAAAUCCCCAAUUCGCACCCCAAAAUCCGCCCCAAAAUCCCCAUUUUGCACCCCAAAAUCAGCCCCAAAACCCGCCAAAUUUGCCCCAAAUUCAGCCCCAAAAUGAACCCCAAAAUGCUCCUUUUUCACCCCAAAAUUUUCCCUUAAAUCCUCCCCAAAAUCCUCAAUUUUCACCCCAAAAUCCUCCCCUAAAACCCCCCAAAAUCCCCCAAAAUCCCCCCAAAAUCCCCCCAAAUCUCCCCUGGGACCCCCCAAAAACCCCCAAAAACGCCCCAAAACUUCUGCCCCAAAUUCCGCCGAAUUCGCCCCAAAAUCCCGUCCGGGACCCCCCAAAAUCCGCGACCCCCCCCAGGAGCCCCCCCCGGACCAGGGGGGAGGGGGCGGAGCCCAGUGACGUCACCGGUGAGGGGGAGGGGAUUGGGGGGAUUUGGGGGAUUUUUGGGUGGAUUUGGGGGAUUUUGAGGGAAUUUGGGGGGGAUUUUGGAAAUUUUGGAGCAUUUUUUGGGAAAUUUGGGGGAAUUUGGGGGAUUUUGGGGAGAUUCUGGGGGGAUUUUGGGGUGAUUUGGGGGAGUUUGAAGGACCUUUGGGGGGAUUUUGGGGCGUUUUAG